RNAcentral lists this transfer RNA (81 nucleotides) under Halieaceae bacterium. RNAcentral's name for it is "tRNA-Met". The record is from RNAcentral. Lineage: Bacteria; Pseudomonadati; Pseudomonadota; Gammaproteobacteria; Cellvibrionales; Halieaceae.
CGUAGAUCGUCAAAACCGCGUGAGUAACUCGGCAGGCUCAUAACCUGAAGGUCGCAGGUUCAAAUCCUGCUCCCACAACCA